GAUGAACGCUGGCGGCGUGCCUAAUACAUGCAAGUCGAGCGAACAGACGAGGAGCUUGCUCCUCUGACGUUAUCGGCGGACGGGUGAGUAACACGUGGAUAACCUACCUAUAAGACUGGGAUAACUUCGGGAAACCGGAGCUACUACCGGAUAAUAUAUUGAACCGCAUGGUUCAAUAGUGAAAGACGGUUUUGCUGUCACUUAUAGAUGGAUCCGCGCCGCAUUAGCUAGUUGGUAAGGUAACGGCUUACCAAGGCAACGAUGCGUAGCCGACCUGAGAGGGUGGACGCCCACACUGGAACUGAGACUCGGCCCAGACUCUGGCGGGAAGCAGCAGUAGGGAAUCUUCCGCGAUGGGCGAGAGCCUGACGGAGCACCGCCGCGUGAGGGAUGAAGGUCUUCGGAUCGUAAAACUCUGUUAUUAGGGAAGAUCAAAUGUGUAAGUAACUAUGCACGUCUUGACGGUACCUAAUCAGAAAGCCACGGCUAACUACGUG
This 497-nucleotide ribosomal RNA is filed under the name uncultured bacterium. RNAcentral describes it as "partial 16S ribosomal RNA". It matches the Rfam family "Bacterial small subunit ribosomal RNA", at positions 28 to 507 of the family's 1533-position model. The record is from RNAcentral.